This is a long non-coding RNA of Phalaenopsis equestris, 175 nucleotides long. RefSeq lists it as uncharacterized. The transcript is spliced from 2 exons. The record is from RefSeq and is a predicted model, not a curated record. Lineage: Eukaryota; Viridiplantae; Streptophyta; Magnoliopsida; Asparagales; Orchidaceae.
UCAUUGUUUAGCGAAACUGACAGGGAAGAGAUGGCCAUUGAUGAGGCUGAACUCAAGCCAGGUGAGUUUGUGGAUAAAAUGCACCAUCAACACAAGCUUCACGAGCAGCAAUUGGAAAUGCUUAAGAAUAUGCGCAGGUUUCAGCCAGACGUCCAAUCAGGAAUUCUAGAAAGGG